Molecule: long non-coding RNA, 627 nt
Filed under: Bos indicus x Bos taurus (hybrid cattle)
Lineage: Eukaryota; Metazoa; Chordata; Mammalia; Artiodactyla; Bovidae
Description: lncRNA (ENSBIXG00000019344.1)
Source: RNAcentral
CACCUUCCCACAGAGAAAAUUCCUCUGUUGUUUUAAAUAUUUAUCUGUGUUUCCAGAGCUACAGACCUUGAACUUCUUGCUCCCAGGGGAUCUAUACCAGCCUGGAGUUUGUAUGUGGUUUCGUCGUAGACAUUUCGUUGUGGGCUGUCCAGUGAUGCCCAGGAACAAGGCUACUCAUGCAUUGAGUUCUGUUGGAGCAUGUUCCCAGUGAUGUUUGAAUUUUAAACAAGAAGCACUGUGAUAUAAUAGCUCAGUUGUUUUAAAUGGACUGUCCCGUCUCCUCUUGGGGAAAAUGAAAGUCACACCAGAAAAUCAUCUAGUAUGCUCCUCUUGUUUCCAACUGCAAUUUACUGUGGAGGCAAGGAACAAAGAGAGGCCUGCUCUAGGAAAACAGACAUGACUGGGAGCUGGGAGAGCGGAAGAUGCAGGCGAUCAUAUCCCCAGGCCUUUCUGCCGAGAGAGCAGGUCCUGCAGCCUGGGGAUCCAUCACCAUCAACAAAGCUCAGCUCAGGUUUACAAAGCAGAAAUAUCACUUUGUUGACAAAGGUCCAUCUAGUCAAAGCUAUGGUUUUUCCAAUAGUCAUGUAUAAAUGUGAGAGUUGGACCAUAAAGAAAGCUGAAUGCUGA